UAACCUGCCUUGGAGUGGGGGAUAACAGCUGGAAACAGCUGCUAAUACCGCAUGAUGCAGUUGAGUCGCAUGGCUCUGACUGCCAAAGAUUUAUCGCUCUGAGAUGGACUCGCGUCUGAUUAGCUGGUUGGCGGGGUAACGGCCCACCAAGGCGACGAUCAGUAGCCGGACUGAGAGGUUGGCCGGCCACAUUGGGACUGAGACACGGCCCAGACUCCUACGGAAGGCAGCAG
Molecule: ribosomal RNA, 233 nt
Filed under: uncultured bacterium
Lineage: Bacteria
Description: partial 16S ribosomal RNA
Rfam family: Bacterial small subunit ribosomal RNA
Source: RNAcentral